CGACGUGAGGAACCUGCCUCAAAGAGGGGGACAACAGUUGGAAACGACUGCUAAUACCGCAUAAGCCCACGGUGCCGCAUGGCACAGAGGGAAAAGGAGCAAUCCGCUUUGAGAUGGCCUCGCGUCCGAUUAGCUAGUUGGUGAGGUAAAGGCUCACCAAGGCGACGAUCGGUAGCUGGUCUGAGAGGACGACCAGCCACACUGGGACUGAGACACGGCCCAG
Molecule: ribosomal RNA, 223 nt
Filed under: uncultured bacterium
Lineage: Bacteria
Description: partial 16S ribosomal RNA
Rfam family: Bacterial small subunit ribosomal RNA
Source: RNAcentral